UUCUUCUUCUUCUUCUACCCGUGACAACCACACACACACACACACCCACAGCUACACCUACUCGAGGAAAUCAUCACCAUCAUCGCCGUUGAAUUGCUUCUCUCUCUCUCUUUCUCUCUCCCCUGCUCGCGGUGCCGGAGUACGCCGAGCACCUCCGGCGAGUUUUGGUUGUUUUUCCGGUUGGGUUUUGGAGUGUUUUUGGCACGGGUGAGUGCACACCCAAAUUUCCGGCGAGCACCGUCCCUUUCGAGGCGAUUUCCGGCCAAACCACGGCGAUUUGGCCGGCGUGCGAGUUUCCGGCGACCUCAGUGACUUUCGAGGUGUUUUCCAGCCAAACCACGGCGAGUUAGACGUCGUGUGAGGUACCAUUCUCUUCGUCUCUUCGAGAGCUACGAUUUUCAUUUUUGAAUCAAUUGAUUUCGUCGAGUAUUAACAAAGUUACGGACGUUCAAAGUUUGUCUAAAUUCCGGCUGAAUUCCGGCCUUCUUCUCCGGCGUGAAACCCAGCCCAAGAAAACACCCAGGCCUUCAGGCCGUUUCCUUCCCCCACGGGCCUUAGGCCCGUUUGGUCUCUGGCCCAAAACCCUAAACCUUUUCCUUUUUAUUUUUAUUUUGUUUCAUUUAAAAACCCAAAAGGCCUUCGGGCCUUGGUUGCAGCCCAAACCCAUUUCCCCUUUUUAAUUAGGCCUUGGGCCGUGAGGUUCAAGAACCCAAACCCAUUUUCUGUUUUUACCCAAACCCAACCCACUUAAAACCCUAGCCCAAAACCCUAGUUGCAAGCCCAAACCCAUUACCCUUUUAUUUAGGCUUUUGGGCCGUAUGGUUUCUAACCCAAAAUCCAACCCACCUAAAACCUAAACCCAAUUACCCUAACCCAAACCCUUAGGCCCAAACCCGGAUCCAAUACCCAAACCCUAAAGCCUGACCCGUUGACCCGUGACCC
Long non-coding RNA from Pyrus x bretschneideri (Chinese white pear), 942 nucleotides. RefSeq lists it as uncharacterized. NCBI's taxonomy places the organism in Eukaryota, Viridiplantae, Streptophyta, Magnoliopsida, Rosales, Rosaceae. The record is from RefSeq and is a predicted model, not a curated record. The transcript is spliced from 3 exons.